RNAcentral lists this unclassified non-coding RNA (899 nucleotides) under uncultured soil eukaryote. RNAcentral describes it as "sequence contains 5.8S rRNA gene, ITS2, 28S rRNA gene". The stretch from base 473 to 899 matches the Rfam family "Eukaryotic large subunit ribosomal RNA", at positions 1 to 418 of the family's 3401-position model. The record is from RNAcentral.
AACUUUCAACAACGGAUCUCUUGGUUCUCGCAUCGAUGAAGAACGCAGCGAAAUGCGAUAAGUAGUGUGAAUUGCAGAAUUCAGUGAAUCAUCGAAUCUUUGAACGCACAUUGCGCCUUCUGGUAUUCCGGGAGGCAUGCCUGUUCGAGCGUCAUCAAAGCUCAAUUAAACCCCGCAAGGUUGUGAUCAAACUAAAGUCAGCUUUGCAGUGAGCGGGUUUGCUCUUGAGGGAAGAGAGAGAUCCACUUUUUCCUCUAUAGGUAUUUUUGGGUCGCUCUCCCCCUUGAAUUCUAUUGGUGGACACAGAAAAUUUUCCUCUCCUGGGUGAAGAUGGUAGUAGUAAAUGGAAAAAAAAUGAAAAAUUUUGGAUUUUUUUUUUUUUUUUUUCUUCUCACUGCUUCCUCAGGACCCUUGUGGUUUAAUUUGAGGUUUUGAUGUCUCCUGCCACAAACUUUAGAUCUAUAAAGUGAUUUGACCUCGGAUCAGGUAGGGAUACCCGCUGAACUUAAGCAUAUCAAUAAGCGGAGGAAAAGAAACCAACAGGGAUUGCCUUAGUAACUGCGAGUGAAGCGGCAAAAGCUCAAAUUUGAAAUCUGGCGUCUCUUUCGGGCGUCCGAGUUGUAAUUUGAAGGAGUAUCUUCGGGGGCGAAUGACGUUCUAAGUUCUUUUGGAAUUGGACAUCAAAGAGGGUGAGAAUCCCGUGCCUGGACGGCUGUUCGCUCCUAUGUGAAGUGCUUCCGACGAGUCGAGUUGUUUGGGAAUGCAGCUCAAAAUGGGUGGUAAAUUUCAUCUAAAGCUAAAUAUUGGCGAGAGACCGAUAGCGCACAAGUAGAGUGAUCGAAAGAUGAAAAGCACUUUGAAAAGAGAGUCAAAAAGUACGUGAAAUUGUUGAAAGGGAA